CCUCUUCUCGGGAAACAGCUUCCUCUGAGACAGCAGAAAACAUGGACUGCCUCAGGAUGCCCAGUGCUCUAGGGCACUUGCAGAAACAUGUUUGUAUGUCCUAGUGCCCAACUAUGCUGGGGGAACUCAAUGGCUCUAAAUGUGGGACACCCAGGCGUGGUACACACACCUGCAACACCAGUACUCCGGAGACUGAGGCCAGAAGCUGCUGCAAGUUGAGACCAGCCUGGGCUACGAGCUCUGCAAACCAGGUGUCACGAUUGAGAAGAGAAGGUGAGGCCAGAGUGGUGAGAAGGACAUACAGCAGUGACUGCAGAGCUGGGCCACUCCCACCAUCAGCCAGCAGGCAAACCUGGGUGGCAUGGCUGCCCUGUCCUCCUCAGGGCCACAACAAUGGCAGCUCUGUUAGAAGUCCCGGGAAUGACUGUAGUGUCCUGAAUCCACGGCACCAAGAGGCAGUGUCCCAGAGGGCCUGCUAUCUGGCUAUUUACUGCUGCCCCUAACUCAGAGGCAUAAAGCAAAGGCAGUGUUUUCUGCGCUUCUCGAUCUCCACAAGGGCCAGGCAUGGCAAGGACAAUCACUGCUUUCCCACUAGGAGCUCAGGUAUUUUGUCUCAGCAACGAGUAAAAAGUAACUAAGACAAGUCCCAAAGGUGAACAUCAGAAGGUCAGACUCACAGACAAGGAACUAGAAACAAGUGGAAGACCACACUGGGGAGAAGCAGAACCCCCGGCGUUGGAUGUCCCGCAGCACUCAUCUCUCCCACAGCACUGUACUCACCUGUAGUCACAGAGUAUGGCCCGCCUUCUAAGGGAGCAAAUUCCACUCAACCUUUACUGUGGACAGGUGUAUGCCCAGUUCCCCAGCUCUCCCACAGCUUCUAUGACUGAUGUUUUAAAAUAAAUUCCCCUUAACUGUAUUUUAUGGAUGGGGGUUUGUAAAAUGGAAGUAAGUUUAUUUCUAUCUGAUAUAGAUCCACUAAUAGUAUGAAGUUCUACACUUAAACCAAAAUUAAAGUAGGAGAUAUACAAGUCUGGACCAAACUACAGUGACAUUAGUAAUAGCCACAUGUCAGCUACCACAAGAAAGAAAAAACUUCCUUUACGCCUCCUGAGGAGGUGACCUAUACUAUCCAAACUUUAAGUAACAAUAACUUUUUGCAUUAAGUUUCUCAGUUUUGGUUUUCUUUUUGUUGUUGUUGUUGUUUUAAAGAUUUUUACGUUCUUUAUUUUAAAAAUGAAAGGGAAGAAAAGUGCUCUAAAAGAUAUAACUAUAUGGAGGUUUAAGUGUAUUACUAAGUUUCCAUUAGAUCACUGAAAGGAAUGGUUUUGCACUGUCAAUGUUUGAGAGUCUACUUUUUAUGCUUUGAUUUUGUAACUUGAACAAAUAUUUCUAAGAGCACAAUAUGUAACUUAUCAACUAGCAAUUUAAUGUUAAUUUUUCUUUGAAAUUCUGUAUUACUUCUCCCCUUUUUCUUGUCUUGUUUUUUUGUCUUGUUUUUCUUUAAAU
Long non-coding RNA from Cavia porcellus (domestic guinea pig), 1509 nucleotides. RefSeq lists it as uncharacterized. The transcript has 3 exons. NCBI's taxonomy places the organism in Eukaryota, Metazoa, Chordata, Mammalia, Rodentia, Caviidae. The record is from RefSeq and is a predicted model, not a curated record.